GGGCCAGACUGACCUUGAGAUACUGAGGGAUCCAUACCCAUCAGCUUCAGGGAAGGAACACAUAGGCAGCCUCCAUGCCACAGAAGAGCACAUCUGGAGACCCAGCUCUGUAGGCUACACCUGAACUCCUUUGGCUCUGCUCUUGAAAAAGAACUGAGAGGCUCAUGUUAGCUGCUUUGACAACGAC
Molecule: long non-coding RNA, 187 nt
Organism: Mus musculus (house mouse)
Lineage: Eukaryota; Metazoa; Chordata; Mammalia; Rodentia; Muridae
Product: predicted gene, 53715
Exons: 3
Source: RefSeq, a predicted model, not a curated record